Molecule: long non-coding RNA, 4148 nt
Organism: Oncorhynchus kisutch (coho salmon)
Lineage: Eukaryota; Metazoa; Chordata; Actinopteri; Salmoniformes; Salmonidae
Exons: 2
Source: RefSeq, a predicted model, not a curated record
AAAUGUGCCCUUUCUUGGGAGACAUUUCUCGCUGUCCAGGACAGACAGGAAAACGUAAACGCAUGCUUUUACUCUCUAGCAAAUUGAAAUAAUUUACAAUUAGCAUUUAAAGGAAAGUAUUGGAAUGCCGAAGCGAAGCACCAGUCAAUUUGUAAGAUCAACAGAGAAACUUCGAUUGUACAAACAAAUGUUUGUAAAUUGCGGAUUAAUGGAAAUGCAUAAUGGGAAAUGACGUCUAUUACUAGCAAAGAUGCCACAUACAUAUCCUUCCGCAGAAAAAUAGUAUUGUUAUUUUGUAGAACUAAAAUUAUUUGAUUUAUUUGAUAAUAGCAUAAUUAUGCAAACUAUAUAUUAAAAACAAUACAUAUGAGUGCUUUCAUAUGAGUGCUUUCUGUGUCGUUCACAACAUUCACAACAUCCAGGGUUGCUAGAGAGAUAUAAUUCGGUCGGCACCCAUCCCUCAGGUCCUGUUCAAAAUUGUGAGUGCUUAGCUGAAUUGCCCAUGAUUUUGAAAACGAAUUAGUUUUCUAAAAACUCUCAUUGUUGGGAAAUGUACGGUCGGCACCCAUGCUUCCGGUCCAGUUCGUUUAUAUUCUGAUGCAGAAAAAAUGGAACGUAGUCGCCAGCGAGUUCGUUGCAAUAGUGUUUCUAUUUCCGGCAACAUUCGCGUGACGCUAGCGCAUGCAAAAGGGGUACUUUCCUUUGAGAGCUUGAAAGUUUUACACUGACAGUACCGCACAAAAUCUUAAAAUCAAUCACCCUGACAAUCAUUAUAUGUUCAGUACGAGGCUGUCACAAUUUGAUGAAGGAGGCAGUUUUUACAACAGCCAUGUUUAGAACACCAACCGCUACGUCGAUCUGUGGAGUCCCAUAUGACCUGCAUCCACCUCCUAAAGACACAGUCUUUGCGGCUCUGGCUCAAAGCGUUUAAUCUAAAGAAACGUCCCUUUGUAUGCUCCUACCAAUUCUUUGACAAUAAGUUUACAGUCGAGCAUCCACACCCAGAAAAAUGGCUUGGCUACGAUACUCCACUCGUGAAGACGCGUCGGGUGUUGGUCAGGCAGUCAUCAGUGACAGAUGACACAACAGGUUCAAGUUUUCACCAAAUUGAAAAUGGGGAUUGGCCAACACGAAUAGAAAGAAUUGAUUUACCUUCAGAGAAGGAUGCCCAAACCCAAUGGGAAGACCCAUCUCUAAGUGAUCACAACUAUAGCUCAGGUGAUCAUGUAAAGCUCACUACCUGUGAGGCAGGGAUACAGUGCCCAGCAGCACCACUCUACAAAACCCUGCUGAGGAAUGAAGCACUCUGUUGACUGCAUACAGGCUUGUCUCUUGCUACCCUUUCUACCCUCCUGGUAGAACAUCUUCUACCCUUCUACAAAGGCAGCUUUCAAUUAGACCUGACAGACCAACUUCUGAUGACACUGAUGAAGCUCAAAUUGCUGCUGCAGUACCUAGCAGAAAGGUUUGGUGUUUUCCAGGGUAUUGUCAUUUGAGUGAUUAGUUAUUGGAUUGACAUGAUGGAAGAGAGUCUGAGGGAGUACAUUCCAUGGUUGCCAAGGGAGUUCAUCCGUGCUACAAUGCCACAAUGUUUUAAGGACUACUACCAAGGACCAACCUGGAUUAUCGUCUGCUCAGAAAUUGCUUUACAGAAUGCAAGAAUCUGGAUUCAAGGGGGGAGUCAUUCAACCAUUACUACACCCAGAACACUAUCAAGUACCUUGUGGUCGGUCUGGUGAUGUUAAUUUCUUCAGCAUAUGGAGGUAGAUGUAGCAACAAAUAUAUAACGUUGGAUUCUAGGUUCUUGGAGAACCUCUGUCCAGAUGAUGAGGUCAUGGCUGACCGGGGCUUCACAAUCCAUGAACUGGUGUAUAAGAGGAAGGUUAAAUGAACAAUUCCAGCCUUCACAAAAAGAGGCGCACAGCUGUCAGUGGAGGACACCACAUGUACAAGAUUGAUAGCCAACGUGAGGGUCCAUGUGGAACGCGUAAUUCAAAGGCUCAAACGGUUUAGAAUCAUCUCACAGUCAGUGCCAAUCGACCUCUCAUCGAAAAUGAAAUACUUUGAAAUACUUUGUAUCUGUGCUGCCCUGUGUAACCUGUGUGGUGAUAUCAUUCAUGAAGAUGUUGAAUCAACUGAUCAGUCAAAUGCAAUUCACAGGGUUGAUUUCCCAUUAUGAAUUAAAGUUGUCUAAAGUUACGUUAAUACGUUAAUACAUUUCAAUUAAUUAUAUAACAACUCAACUGAAUUAUUUGUUUUACAUACUCAUUAAUAUUAAUAAAAAACAGCCAUAAAAAUAAUUUCUACAGUACUGUGACUGUUGAUGCAGUAAGUUAGGCUUUUUAAUUGAAUAUUGUAUAACUGUGGACCAGCUAGCUAACUAGAUUGCUAAUUUGCCGGUACGGUAUGGUUGGUUAGCUAGUUUCUUGCAUAUUCUGGCAAAGACCACUGCACUAAUAGGAAACUCUUUGGCAACAAUUAUGAACAUUUUCUCUUUUUGUAUGUGGAAUAGGGCUUAAAUUGAGGAAACUGAACUUGAGCCUGCUUGAAACUUGGGUUUUGUUUUGGUUGACCAAGAGUCGGUAUGUCGCAGGUUGGUUCUUUGUAUGCACUGUAUGUUUGUGAUAAACAAAUUAUUCUACCUAUAUUAAUUAUACUGUAAUUACUGAUGCAGCAUUUGUGAUGUUUUUAGAUCAGUUGAUUGAGCCUUGCUAAUGGGAGUAGCUAAUUGGCUGAAAUGAACCUACACAAAGGACUGGAGUUGAGGAACACUUGUGAAUAACUCGACAGUGAGCCUCUGCUGAUGUUUCAAGAUAUUCAUUAUGUCUUUGUUUAUAGACUAAGAAGAGACGGAACUGUGGUCGUGCCAAGAAGGGCUGUGGGCAUGUGCAGGGACAAGGCCAUAAAAAAAGUUUGUCAUCCCGAACAUUGUUGAGGCUGCUGCUGUAGAUAUCUCAGAGGCUAGCGUGUUUGAAUGUGAGUAGAUUGUUGAAUGGUCUGAGGGCAACUAGUCAUGUGAUGCUAGCAUUGAAUGGCACUGGAGCAUGUAUUUUGUUUGAUUAGAUCCACCAGAUCCUUGGUUUAUUACACUUCAUACUCAAACAUCCUUUCUUCUGGCAAGCCUGUUUUGCCCAAGCUCUAUGUGAAACUGCACUACUGCGUGAGCUGUGCCAUCCACUGUAAGGUGGUCAGGAACCACAGAGGCCAGGAAGGACCGCACACCACCAUCCCGCUUCAGGCCCAGUUGUGAAUACUCAAGCACCAAGCUCUGCCAUGGCCAUUAAAUGGUGAUCAUGAAUGUCGAACUCAUUCCAUGGAGGGCUGAGUAUGUGCUAGUUUUCUUUAUUUCCUUUCAAUUUGUCCAAUUAAGACCUACACAACCAGGUGAGGGGGAGUUCCUAAAUAAUCAGUGACCGUAAUGGAUCAAUCAAGUACAAGGGAGGAGCGAAAACCCAUGGAAUGAGUUUGACACCUGUGGCCUGCACAAAUCCUCAUGUCUGGGAUACCUGCUUGGAUUGAGAGAAUCCUCAGUCAAAUACAGAAACUGACAUUUCCAUUCUUGCCUUUCCUCUAACGUUGGCUGUUAUUGCAUGAUGUGAUUGUGGAAUACUGUUCUGAUGGAAUGUGUUCUCUUUCUACAGGGUGGCCCACCCAGAGUUCCUCCACAGCCCAUGUAAAACAGAUUGAUUUGAAUAUAUUUUUCACUUGCAAAACAUUUAUAUACAUCUUUAUAAAUAUGAAUGUCUUAUCAUUGUAGAAAAUAUCAGCCAGUCAAGUGUAUUUAUUUGGAAUACUCUCCUUCAAUACAGUACAAAAUUUACAGUAGUUUAAUCUUGAUACACAAAUACUUAAUUACAUUAUGGUACAUGAAAAAAGGCUCUGCAGUUCAAGCGAAUCCACACAAUUCACAGGGGCAGGAGUAAAGGUAACAGAGCAGAUAGUCAAGUCAAAGGGAACACAAACACAGUGCAAUCAAGAAACCUUGAAAGGGAAAGGAACAUUGAAACUAGGGCAAAAACAAGCACACAUCAGUAACAAAAUAUUUUUCUCUGAAGCUGGGGUGACUUAAGGGGAAAUACAAAAUAAGCUUGACUCAUUUGUCCUUUAGAUUUUUGUGAAAUCUUUUAAGGUUUAGGAGACCACAUUGU